This 253-nucleotide ribosomal RNA is filed under the name uncultured bacterium. RNAcentral describes it as "partial 16S ribosomal RNA". It matches the Rfam family "Bacterial small subunit ribosomal RNA", at positions 524 to 776 of the family's 1533-position model. The record is from RNAcentral.
UACAGAGGGUGCGAGCGUUAAUCGGAAUUACUGGGCGUAAAGGGUGCGUAGGUUGUUUGUUAAGAGAGGUGUGAAACCCCCGGGCUUAACCUGGGACGUGCACUUGAGACUGGCAAACUAGAGUCGAGUAGAGGGGAGUGGAAUUUCCAGUGUAGCGGUGAAAUGCGUAGAUAUUGGAAGGAACACCGGUGGCGAAGGCGGCUCCCUGGACUUAGACUGACGCUGAGGCACGAAAGCGUGGGGAUCAAACAGG